Molecule: ribosomal RNA, 617 nt
Filed under: Papiliotrema laurentii
Lineage: Eukaryota; Fungi; Basidiomycota; Tremellomycetes; Tremellales; Rhynchogastremaceae
Description: partial large subunit ribosomal RNA
Rfam family: Eukaryotic large subunit ribosomal RNA
Source: RNAcentral
ACAGGGAUUCCCCUAGUACGGCGAGUGAACCGGGAAGAGCUCAAAUUUGAAAUCUGGCGUCCUCAGGGCGUCCGAGUUGUAAUCUAUAGAGGCGUUUUCCGUGCCGGACCGUGUCCAAGUUCCUUGGAACAGGAUAUCAAAGAGGGUGACAAUCCCGUACUUGACACGACGACCGGUGCUCUGUGAUACGUCUUCUACGAGUCGAGUUGUUUGGGAAUGCAGCUCAAAAUGGGUGGUGAGUUCCAUCUAAAGCUAAAUAUUGGCGAGAGACCGAUAGCGAACAAGUACCGUGAGGGAAAGAUGAAAAGCACUUUGGAAAGAGAGUUAAACAGUACGUGAAAUUGUUGAAAGGGAAACGAUUGAAGUCAGUCGUGACCGAGAGGCUCAGCCGGUUCUGCCGGUGUAUUCCCCUCGGUCGGGUCAACAUCAGUUUUGUCCGGUGGAUAAGGGCGGUAGGAAGGUGGCACCCUCGGGUGUGUUAUAGCCUGCCGUCGCAUACAUCGGGUGAGACUGAGGAACGCAGCUCGCCUUUAUGGCCGGGGUUCGCCCACGUCCGAGCUUAGGAUGUUGACAUAAUGGCUUUAAACGACCCGUCUUGAAMMMSSGRRAMMCAAAAA